GUUUUAAUAGUUUAAAAUAAAAUAAUGAUCUUGUAAAUCAUUGAUAGGUUUAUCCUUUAAAACU
Molecule: transfer RNA, 64 nt
Filed under: Henestaris halophilus
Lineage: Eukaryota; Metazoa; Arthropoda; Insecta; Hemiptera; Lygaeidae
Description: tRNA-Thr
Source: RNAcentral